Molecule: long non-coding RNA, 1957 nt
Organism: Hordeum vulgare subsp. vulgare (domesticated barley)
Lineage: Eukaryota; Viridiplantae; Streptophyta; Magnoliopsida; Poales; Poaceae
Exons: 3
Source: RefSeq, a predicted model, not a curated record
AUUUUAAGAGCCAGCCCACAAGUACACAGCCCAUAGCGGCGCGCCUCUCUAAUCUCUAUCCCGAAACCCUAGCCAAGUCCCGCAGCCGCUCCUUCUCCCUUUGCCCAUCUCUCUCCCAAUCCUUCCCAGCCGCCUCCCUCCCCUCGCCAAUCCACAUGCUCAGAACAGCCUCCCUCCCCACUUAGGCACCUGCGGAUGCCAUCUCGUCGCCGAUGGGGCAUGGUCCUGGCGCGGACCCAAGAUGGAGUAGCGCCAGAUCUGGAGCGGAAGCAAUAUGUGGCGGUCAGAGACCUUGCCGACCUGCGAUGAUGCGCGUCGGUAGCUGCUUGCCUAGCAACGACUAACCGGGCAACGGGGAUCGGCGGCCCACUUGGCGAAUGCGUGUGUCGGCUCCUCUCAUCGACAUCUUCACUAUCAUGGUGUCGGCCCUGUCUCUCCUUCUCCACCAGGUUUGUCAAGGAAGGAACUAUGCCAUGCGUCUACCAGAGCGCCACACCCCCAGUCCAUCUCUUUCGCUAGCUCUGUCGCCGAUUCCCCGUCCGUUGUGCCAGUUCCCGGGUCAACACGAUGAGCCUGCUGGAACUUACGGUAGCCACGCUGCUAGCAUCGAGCUCUUCCUCCACCUGCACGGCUCUUCUUUCGUUUAUGCUCCUCGUUUUCCACAGGAAGCCCAGAGCCGCAAACCCAUGCAGUUUGUUCCUUCCACAACUUCAAACUGAGGUAAUGCAACUAUGUCUUGUGUUUCAGAGCACGAGUGAGUGACAUUUAACCACAUACGUUUGUCGGUACUUUGGACUUCCACAUGGCAUCAUUUCAGUCACUAGAUAUACGCAACUUGGGAUUGAUUUUGGAUUUUUGUGUGGUUUUCACCACCUCGAUGCAGCAUACUAUUCAAGCAUCAAAGUAUGUCAAGGUGACCCGGUUUCAAACAUACAAACUGUGUCGAUGCAUGAGUGGUAGUGCUAAAGCUUAUGUAGAAAUCUUAUUAAGAACCUGAUUAUAUAAGGUUCAUAUUAUACCACCCUCUAUUUGUGCAUCAGCAUUAGGUGUCUACCUUCGAUCCAUAUGCUUCAAUGUUGUUCUUUUUUUAGCUACAGGUUCAGGUUUUGAACUAAGAAUCCAAACAAAAUUGAUAGAAAUAUGUAAAUAAAUAGCGGUAAAUUUGGUUAUGUUUGUUCAUUUCGCAUGCAAUGUCUGGUCCUUUCAGUUUGUCCUGUCCCUCAAGAUCCAUGAUAAGAAUACUGAUAUGCUAGCAUGUUGUAUUCAUUCAUUGAAAAGAGAGAACGAGAGGGUGAGAGUUAAGAUUUAUUUCAGUUUUAUUCUUCAAUGAUGAUAAUACAUAGUCCAGCUUCUCCCUUCUGCAGUACUACACUCAUUUACACAUGUUUGAUGUUUCCAUCCAGUGACCCGCAAGAGCACACAAGAAAGCGCUCACCGAAUCAAACAACACAAGUCUAUCUUGUAGGUUUCUCAGGUGAUGAUGGCAACGCCUCUACUGUGUUCGCCAAUAGUUCAGUCGCAUGUCUAGGAGGAGAAGUCUUGACAUGCCAUCGGCACCGACUCUAGCGCCCAUGGAUCCGGCUACCUGCUCAUGUGGUGUUUCUCGUUUCCACUCGUCGUUGAUGUUGGUAUAGCCCUCUGUUUGUCGCUCCUCCUUCGCUUCGUCAAACCUACUGUCCCCAUCUUCUGUCACCAUAAGGCUCUAUGUGGACCAAGUGGUUAGAAGGGAGACGACGCACACAAAUAUUUUGAAGAGAAAGCAAGUUUAUUUUGUGUGCUACUUUGUAAGAUUGUGUGCAAUGCUAGUUUUUGUCUGCAACUGUCUUCGAGUAUUUAGCAGCUUGAAAGCUUUAUGUUGGGUAUAUUGUAAGUUUAGGGGACCUCAUAUGAAGUUUCCGUUGAUGUAAAGUUGAAUAUUGUACCAUGUUGGAUAUUGUUAAAUGAAUUGAUAUGAAAA